This 500-nucleotide ribosomal RNA is filed under the name uncultured Glomeromycotina. RNAcentral describes it as "partial small subunit ribosomal RNA". It matches the Rfam family "Eukaryotic small subunit ribosomal RNA", at positions 591 to 1092 of the family's 1831-position model. The record is from RNAcentral. Lineage: Eukaryota; Fungi; Glomeromycota.
CCAAUAGCGUAUAUUAAAGUUGUUGCAGUUAAAAAGCUCGUAGUUGAACUUCGGGAUCAAUGAAUUGGUCAUGCCGUUGGUAUGUACUGAUUUUAUUGGUUCUCACCUUCUAAAGAACCAUAAUGUCAUUCAUUUGAUGUUAUGGGGAAUUAGGACUGUUACCUUGAAAAAAUUAGAGUGUUUAAAGCAGGCUCGCGCUUGAAUACAUUAGCAUGGAAUAAUGAAAUAGGACGUUUGAUUCUAUUUUGUUGGUUUCUAGGAUCGACGUAAUGAUUAAUAGGGAUAGUUGGGGGCAUUAGUAUUCAAUUGUCAGAGGUGAAAUUCUUGGAUUUAUUGAAGACUAACUACUGCGAAAGCAUUUGCCAAGGAUGUUUUCAUUAAUCAAGAACGAAAGUUAGGGGAUCGAAGACGAUCAGAUACCGUCGUAGUCUUAACCAUAAACUAUGCCGACUAGGGAUCGGAUGAUGUUAAUUUUUUAAUGACUCAUUCGGCGCCUUACG